AUGCACGUCGUGAUGUUCCCCUUCCUCGCCUUCGGCCACAUCAGCCCGUUCGUGCAGCUGGCGCGCAAGCUCGUCGCCGCCGGCGGGGUGCGUGUCACGCUGCUGUCGGCCGCGGCCAACGUGCCCCGCGUCGAGGCCAUGCUGGGGCCGGCGGCCGGCGCGGUGGCGGUGGCCCCGCUGCGCCUCCAGCGCGUGCCGGGGCUCCCCGAGGGCGCCGAGAGCACGGCCGAGGUCUCGGCGGACGGCGCCGAGCUGCUCAAGGUCGCCGUCGACGGCACCAGGCCGCAGGUGGCGGCCCUGCUCGCGGAGCUCCGUCCUGACGCCCUGCUGUUCGACUUCGCCACCCCGUGGGUCACCGAGCUCGCGGCGCCGCUCCGCAUCAAGGCGCUCCAGUUCUCGGUCUUCUCCGCCGUGUCCGGCGCCUACCUGAUGAACCCCGCCCGCCGCCUCGGCGCCGGCGGCCAGCUGCCAACCGCGGACGACCUCACGUCGCCGCCCGCAGGCUUCCCACCGUCGUCGAGCAUCACCACCGUGCCGGCCUACCAGGCCGCCGACUUCAGCUACGUGUUCACCAGCUUCCACGGCGAGCCGUGCGUGUACGACCGCGUCCUCGCCGGCGUCCAGGCCAGUGACGCCCUCGUCAUCAAGACGUGCUUCGAGAUGGAAGGCCCCUACAUCAACUACCUCACCGCCCAGCACGGCAAGCCGGUGCUCGUCACGGGCCCGGUCGUGCCGGAGCCGCCGCAGGGCGAGCUGGAGGAGCGGUGGGCCAGGUGGCUCUCCUCCUUCCCGGACAACGCCGUCGUGUUCGCCUCCUUCGGGAGCGAGACGUUCCUCCCGGCCGCCGCCGCGACGGAGCUCCUC
This 864-nucleotide ribosomal RNA is filed under the name Triticum aestivum (bread wheat). RNAcentral's name for it is "partial small subunit ribosomal RNA". The record is from RNAcentral. Lineage: Eukaryota; Viridiplantae; Streptophyta; Magnoliopsida; Poales; Poaceae.